Unclassified non-coding RNA from Apteryx haastii (Great spotted kiwi), 152 nucleotides. Lineage: Eukaryota; Metazoa; Chordata; Aves; Apterygiformes; Apterygidae. The record is from Ensembl.
UUGAUGCCUUGGGGAGAACAAAGUCUUUUAUUUGUCCCCAGGCGUGCUAUGCCCAUACCCUAUAACCACGCGUCUUCCCUCUGACCUGAAAGGACCACCUUUAAGGGUGAGAAAGUAGUUUCGUUUCCAGGCCCUUUUAAACGUGCCCUUUC